This 138-nucleotide small nucleolar RNA is filed under the name Oryza sativa Indica Group (long-grained rice). Its description in RNAcentral is "Small nucleolar RNA Z247". Lineage: Eukaryota; Viridiplantae; Streptophyta; Magnoliopsida; Poales; Poaceae. The record is from RNAcentral.
CCGCUGGAUGAUGAAGAACUGGUGGCAUACAUCAUCAACGGGCUCGACUCCGACUUCGAUGCUGCUGUCGAAGGAAUAAUGGCAACGGCAAGAAUUGCUCCUCCUUCUGUAUCUCAUGUUUAUUCACAGGUUUUGAGU